RNAcentral lists this ribosomal RNA (497 nucleotides) under uncultured bacterium. RNAcentral describes it as "partial 16S ribosomal RNA". It matches the Rfam family "Bacterial small subunit ribosomal RNA", at positions 28 to 507 of the family's 1533-position model. The record is from RNAcentral.
GAUGAACGCUGGCGGCGUGCCUAAUACAUGCAAGUCGAGCGAACAGAUAAGGAGCUUGCUCCUUUGACGUUAGCGGCGGACGGGUGAGUAACACGUGGGUAACCUACCUAUAAGACUGGGAUAACUUCGGGAAACCGGAGCUAAUACCGGAUAACAUUUGGAACCGCAUGGUUCUAAAGUGAAAGAUGGUUUUGCUAUCACUUAUAGAUGGACCCGCGCCGUAUUAGCUAGUUGGUAAGGUAACGGCUUACCAAGGCAACGAUACGUAGCCGACCUGAGAGGGUGAUCGGCCACACUGGAACUGAGACACGGUCCAGACUCCUACGGGAGGCAGCAGUAGGGAAUCUUCCGCAAUGGGCGAAAGCCUGACGGAGCAACGCCGCGUGAGUGAUGAAGGGCUUCGGCUCGUAAAACUCUGUUAUUAGGGAAGAACAAACGUGUAAGUAACUGUGCACGUCUUGACGGUACCUAAUCAGAAAGCCACGGCUAACUACGUG